RNAcentral lists this small RNA (632 nucleotides) under Pongo abelii (Sumatran orangutan). Its description in RNAcentral is "processed transcript". Lineage: Eukaryota; Metazoa; Chordata; Mammalia; Primates; Hominidae. The record is from RNAcentral.
GAGGAAGUACUGUUGGAGGUUGGAGCAAGGAGAACAGUUGUUGGAAGGAACUUGUUAGAAGAGCCACUCUCGAAGAUAUGGUGUAGACAAAGCCUGAAGCUGCAGGCUUUAUACAGGUUUUCGCCAUGUUACUCAGGUUGCUCUUGAACUCCUGGGCUCAAGCGAUUCACCCGCCUUGGCCUCCUAAAGCCCUGUUUAUACCUGGUUUACAGAGCAUAUAUCAUUACAGACUAUAUGGGCAUCCGAAAUGAAAGUUUCAUGAAAUUAGCUGCAGUAGGGACCUGGAUGGGGGACUUUGUCACAGCUUGGAUGGUCACUGAUAUGAUGCUUCAGGACAAACCCUAUCCUGACUGGGGAAAAUCAGCAAGAGCUUUCUGGAAGAAAGGAAAUGUUAGGAUCACUUUAUUCUGGACAGUUCUUUUUACUCUGACGUCUGUGGUUGUACUUGUGAUUACAACGGACUGGAUCAGCUGGGACAAGCUGAAUCGGGGAUUUUUGCCCAGUGAUGAAGUUUCCAGAGCAUUCCUUGCUUCUUUUAUCUUGGUCUUUGACCUCCUUAUUGUGAUGCAGGACUGGGAAUUCCCACAUUUCAUGGGAGAUGUUGAUGUAAAUCUCCCUGGUUUGCACACCCC